RNAcentral lists this ribosomal RNA (274 nucleotides) under uncultured bacterium. Its description in RNAcentral is "partial 16S ribosomal RNA". It matches the Rfam family "Archaeal small subunit ribosomal RNA", at positions 473 to 747 of the family's 1478-position model. The record is from RNAcentral.
AAACCAGCACCUCAAGUGGUCAGGAGGAUUAUUGGGCCUAAAGCAUCCGUAGCCUGAUCUGUAAGUUUUCGGUUAAAUCUGUACGCUCAACGUACAGGCUGCCGGGAAUACUGCAGAUCUAGGGAGUGGGAGAGGUAGACGGUACUCGGGAGGAAGUGGUAAAAUGCUUUGAUCUCUCGAUGACCACCUGUGGCGAAGGCGGUCUACCAGAACACGUCCGACGGUGAGGGAUGAAAGCUGGGGGAGCAAACCGGAUUAGAAACCCCGGUAGUCC